CAGUCGCCACGGUAAUACAGAGGGUGCUAGCGUUAAUCGGAUUUACUGGGCGUAAAGCGUGCGUAGGCGGCUUCUUAAGUCGGAUGUGAAAUCCCUGAGCUUAACUUAGGAAUUGCAUUCGAUACUGGGAAGCUAGAGUAUGGGAGAGGAUGGUAGAAUUCCAGGUGUAGCGGUGAAAUGCGUAGAGAUCUGGAGGAAUACCGAUGGCGAAGGCAGCCAUCUGGCCUAAUACUGACGCUGAGGUACGAAAGCAUGGGGAGCAAACAGGAUUAGAGACCCCAGUAGUCCCUGUCUCUUAUAC
Molecule: ribosomal RNA, 301 nt
Filed under: uncultured bacterium
Lineage: Bacteria
Description: partial 16S ribosomal RNA
Rfam family: Bacterial small subunit ribosomal RNA
Source: RNAcentral